GCUGAAAGUGAAAGCACACACUUAUAAUCCCUGCUACUCAGGAGGCUGAGGCUGGUGGAGUACUUGAGUUGAAGAGUUCUGAGCUUCAAUAGGGCUAUAGGCGAUCUGCAUUGUCUGGCAUCAAUAUGGUGAGCUCCCAGAAGCAGAAGGCCACCAGAUUGCCUAAGGAGAGAUGAACUGGCUCAGGUUAGAAACAGAGUAAGUCAAAGUUUCUGUACCAAACAGCAGCAAGAUCAAACAGCCUUCCCACUUCUGGCCUGUGUGUGAUGAGGAGAUCAAGUCUCA
RNAcentral lists this signal recognition particle RNA (285 nucleotides) under Phascolarctos cinereus (koala). RNAcentral's name for it is "Metazoan signal recognition particle RNA (ENSPCIG00000000043.2)". It matches the Rfam family "Metazoan signal recognition particle RNA". Rfam says of the family: The signal recognition particle (SRP) is a universally conserved ribonucleoprotein. It is involved in the co-translational targeting of proteins to membranes. The eukaryotic SRP consists of a 300-nucleotide 7S RNA and six proteins: SRPs 72, 68, 54, 19, 14, and 9. The record is from RNAcentral. Lineage: Eukaryota; Metazoa; Chordata; Mammalia; Diprotodontia; Phascolarctidae.